Zalophus californianus (California sea lion) is the source of this 2826-nucleotide long non-coding RNA. RefSeq lists it as uncharacterized. The record is from RefSeq and is a predicted model, not a curated record. Lineage: Eukaryota; Metazoa; Chordata; Mammalia; Carnivora; Otariidae. The transcript has 4 exons.
CUGGUGGUCAGAGGUGCCAAGAAGUAUUUCCUUGUACCUAUCCUAAAUCCCUCCUGUUUCUCUGGGUUCCCAGCCAGGCCCAAAUGGAGAGAUGAGGAUAGGAGCGGGACGGACCCCAGAGCUGCCCAGCUCAGCCCCAAGGCCAGCAAGGUGAGCGGCCUCCCGCUCCUGGGGGCCUACAGCCUCCUCCAAAGUUGCCCAGCCAGAGCCAAAUGGGAAACCACCUUUGUCCCCUGGAUUUCAGGCCUUGAGGAAGGUGGGAGAUGAGAAAACUGAGGCACAGAGGCCAGAGCCACUUGCCGGAGCUCAGAGCCAGUCAGCAACCGGUUUGGAUUCAGGUGACCAGCAGCAAGACCCCGCUUCUUCUUCACUUGAUCUCAAAAUCCUCUGAACUGACCUUCUCUCCUCAACUACUGGAGAAGGUGGGAAUGGCUGAUGGAAGCUUUCAUUCAUUCAUGAACACGGUGAAUCCACAGAUAUUUUCUGAGUGUCCUCUGGGUGCCAGGGCUCAGGGCUGGAUGCUGGUGGCUGGGGGACAGAAAGGAAGGCCCUGUACUCUAGGGGGAGGCAGGGAGCGGGAGAGACCCUCAGGGCCAUCCUCUGCACAAAGGAAGUGGCUGAGGCCCUCUGCCCGCGUCUUGUCCUGCCCCACCCCCCACGGCCCGUCCAUCUGUGUCCUUUUUCUGUGGUUCUUUCACCCUGGCCUGGGCAGGGGGCUCCGUGCCCCCACCCCCACCUACAGCCAUUUCCUGCCCUCCUGUCAUCUGCUUCCUUUGAUCCUUUCGUCGAAAGACUCCUGGAAGCCUCUGGACCAUUGGCAACCUUGGCAACCUCCUCCCCUGGGCUGGGCCUGGCCUGCUGACCCCAUCGGGGUGGGAGUCAAAGUGGGCUUCUCUUGGGAUGCUGCCCUGGGAGGCAGAUGGGUCCUGGUGUCAUUCAUUCAUUCAUUCAUUCAUUCAUUCACAGGUUCCAGGCCUGUGUGGGACCCACAAAGUGAACAAGACAGUCAUGAUCCCUGUCCUCAAGGAGCUCCCAGCCUAAGGAGCAGCAGCCCUUCCCACACCAAGUGAAUUCUCCCCAAAGUUCCCCCAACAGGGGUAGUCUGAGGACCCAAGGAAGGAACACGGAGCUAGAAGUCGGGCCUCUGGUGACCACCUUCACCUCUGAGGCUCGGUUCCACAUCCGGUCAGUGGGGCGGCUGGAGACAGCACAGGAUGGCAUGCUCUGCAAGCUCUUCCAAGCUCGAAGACCAAGAGAGGGCAUGGGGGUGCCCGGGCCUCACCAGAAUGGACAUCUGGGACACAGGAAGGGGCCCCCUGGACCCAGCAGAGAGGCAGGGUAGAGGCUGGAGGGAGAAGGAGCCUGGGUACGAAGAGAGAUGGAUGCACCUCGUUGGUCAGAAAGUGAACAGGGCCUUGGCCUGUGCCCUUCACCUGGCACGGCCCCCACGCCUGGCUCGGGCAGGAGCUCGACCGAUGCCGUCAGGGGGCUGCCAUUUACUGAGUGCUUACCAGGAGCGGGGCAUGCCGGGCUGAGCUCUUCACACCAGGUGCAAGUCUGUCGACUCCUCACUCUGGUCCUAUGAGACAGGUGCCAUUAUUCCCGUUGCACAGAUGAGACGAUUGAGGCACAGAGCAAUGAAGUUUGCCCAGGGCCCCCUGGUUUGUGGAUGGCAGAGCUGGGUUCUGGACCCUCCUUACCUGACGUCAGCCCCCAUGCUCUUCUGUCCCUUGGUGGAUGACCAGGGGCCUGGGCUUCAAGCCUCGGGAUCCUGGGCUCACCUCUGCUGCACUAGGUGGGGGACCUGCCCUUCCCGUGUUCUGCCUCAGUAGUUUCAGCAAGGUGGCUGGAAAGUCCUCACUCAGGGGGGUGGGAAACAGUCGGGAAAGAGAGUAGAGGCCCCCCCUUCCAGGGGAGGUCCUUCAGAGGACAGGAGUGUGGACUGAGAGCAGCCCCCUUUCCGUAGUCCCCCCCCAACACCCACCCGGGGCCCCUGGCGACCUUGCCCUCUCCAAACCCGGAGCAGGCCAAUCCAUUCAUCCAGCUGUCCAUUCGCUCCCUCAUUGGCUCAGGCAACAGAAUACACAGGUGAGCGAGGGUCUGUCCUCUUGGGGACUGUGCCUGUCUCCGGGAACUUCCUGAAGUGAGCCUGUGAGGGGGUUGGUUCAGGGGAGGACGGCAGAGGAGCGAACGUGGCCUGGGUGGGUUGGGGUGGGGUUGGCCCUUGAGGAGGCGACAUCUGCGCUGGGAUCUGAGGAUCAGUAAGAAGCCUGGGAGGCCAGAGGAAGAGGGCGUCCACGUGUCAGGAACAGCGAGCGAGCGCAAAGAAUCGUCCCUGUGAGGCUGUGCUUAGUGAGGCCUGGAGGAGUGAGGUGACCCACCCACAUUCGAGCAGCCGGUGAGUGGCAGAGCAGGAAUUUGGUUUUUCAGUUUAUGGAGGUACAAUGGACAUACAAUAACUGCACAAUCUGAGGAGUUUGGGCCUAAGUAUGAACCCAUAAAACCAUCAUUCCCGUCAAGGCAGUCAACAUAUCCACCGUCCUCCAAGUUUUCUUGUGCCCUUUUGUGAGCCCUCCUGGCCCCCAAUAUCCCAAGGCAGCCACUGAGCUGCCUUCUGUCACUACAGGUUAGUUUGCAUUUUCUAGAAUGUUCUAUAAAUGGAAUCACACAGUAUGCAUUCUUUAUUGCCUGGCUGCUCUCACUCAGCAUCAUGACCUUGAGAUUCCUCCAUGGUGUCCCGUGUAUCAAUAGUUAAAUUUCUUCUUAUGAAUAACCUCUUAUCAAUAGUUAAUAGUGGCAUUCCAUGGAUGGCUGCACCACAAACUG